CUUGGAAAGAAGUGUAGUAGCUUCAUUGUAUUUUUGUUCACACAACUUCCAAGACACUGUAUGCUCACAUGAAUCUAUGGCGCUCAUAUGUAUGAUCGCUUCUCCUUAAUUGAUAGUCCGUCGCUGGAGAAAUGCCACAACUUGAAAUGCCAAGGCAAAUGAAACAACGAGUGAGGAGAAAAGAAAAGAAAUCUGUAGACAAAGUCGGUGAUCGGUGAAGGAGCAAGAAAAAUACACAAAAAAUGGGAAGAAUCUACUGAAACCUAAGGAAGUGGCUACAUAUUCACUAAACAAUAUACCGAUGUUGAAGGUUCCAAAACAUUUUUGGGUAGGUCAAUUAGCAUGUUUUUGUAACCCUACCC
Molecule: non-coding RNA, 362 nt
Organism: Schizosaccharomyces pombe (fission yeast)
Lineage: Eukaryota; Fungi; Ascomycota; Schizosaccharomycetes; Schizosaccharomycetales; Schizosaccharomycetaceae
Source: the annotation of a GenBank genome assembly